RNAcentral lists this ribosomal RNA (253 nucleotides) under uncultured bacterium. RNAcentral's name for it is "partial 16S ribosomal RNA". It matches the Rfam family "Bacterial small subunit ribosomal RNA", at positions 524 to 776 of the family's 1533-position model. The record is from RNAcentral.
UACAGGGGGUGCAAACGUUGCUCGGAAUUAUUGGGCGUAAAGCGCGCGUAGGCGGCUACUUAAGUCGGAUGUGAAAGCCCUUGGCUCAACUGAGGAAGUGCACCCGAAACUGAGUGGCUUGAGUACCAAAGAGGGUCGCGGAAUUCCCGGUGUAGAGGUGAAAUUCGUAGAUAUCGGGAGGAACACCGGUGGCGAAGGCGGCGACCUGGGUAGAUACUGACGCUGAGGCGCGAAAGCGUGGGGAGCAAACAGG